GGCGUCAUGAGUCCAUGGCGCC
Molecule: unclassified non-coding RNA, 22 nt
Filed under: synthetic construct
Source: RNAcentral